CUCGAGCAGUUUCCAGUACUGGAUUGAAAAGAUGGCCUUUGCUGCAUCUGCUUGAGCAAGGAAAGCCAAGAAACCUUUGCUUUGGAAGGAGAAAAUCCAGAAAGCGGGAAGGAAGAAAAGAAGCCCCCUGACUCCUCCUGAGCCCCAGACAGCCCAUGAACUGCCUUGCUGGGAAUGGUAGGAUGGGGUGGACUCUGGAUUGCUCCCUCUGGAUGUGUGGAACUCCAGGAACUCCUGGUGCCGCCUGGGCCGAUGGAUUGGACGCCCCAGCCCCUCCGUUCCUGCCCAGCCACUGGGUCCGUGUCCAGUGGUGGCACUGCCAGCCCUGCAGGUGAAGUGGGAAGGGCCUUUCCAGGUCUUGUGGGUCACAUUGAUAGAAGCUAAAUUUGCAGAAAAAGGACCUGGGGUCUGUUAUUCUUGAGUUCAGAAAGCUCCUUUGGAUUGGUGAGCAGGACAAAGUGGAUCCUUCAGAGUUCCCAUCUGUGUUUGUGUCUCAGCCUGUGUUAGGAUUCAGGGCUGUAGCUGUUGUUGUCACUGAGGAGUCAAACUAUGCUUUAAAUCAUGAGACACUGGCCUGAUGGCCAAGUGUGAGGAAAAAAGGGGGAAUGAUAUCUGAGUGUUGAGAUGUAACAAGAUCUGAUCCUUUUUGCAGUGGGAUGUAGCCUGGAAACUGCAGAGAGCUGAGCCAAGGGAUUGAAAGGGACCAAGCAAGGGAGGUGAAGAAAGAAGGAAGAAGGGAAGUGAGGCAGCAGCCAAGCAGCAGCAAGUUGCUGUGUAAGCAGUUUGGUGUUUACAGAGGGAUAAUAACUCCUGUCAGCAGCAAGGUCCUGACUGAAGUGGCAGCUGCAGUUGUUCCUGUGGUGUGGGCCAGUGGAAUUCCAAGAAAUGGACAAGGACAGAAGCUGUAAGAAUUACCCCUAAGGCAGAGUCUCUCCUGGUAAGGCAAACCCAGUAUCCUUCAAAAUUAGGAAGCCAAGCUGGAUUGGUUUUAUUAACAGCUAAAUUUGCUGAUCAUGGUUUGAUAGUAGAAUGUGAAUGGAAGGACCUGUAAAGAAAGGAAAUGGGAAAGAUGAUGGAUUGCUGGGAGCAGGGGCUGGCAGACAGUGGGAUGGAUGUUUGGUUGUGUUUGGGAAUGAGCAGCUUGACCUGCCCAGGGUUGUCUGUGCUGGGGGUGGGUUUGGGUCCUGUGUGGCCACAGGUCUGUGCAGCAGCUGGAGCCUGGGCAGGUCUGGGGGCUGUGGUGUGCCAGGCUGCUGAGUUUGUUUUGCCUGUUUCCUUGGAGUGUCCCAGUGUCCCUGCUUGGCUGUUUGUUGCCCUGCAGGCAGAAGAGCCCAGGCCUGAGCUGGCUGAGUGUUGGUGUGAGCCAGAGUGGGUGUCCCUGCCCUGGGGCCAGUCCCCAGAGCUGCCUUUGGCAUCCCCUGCUGAAGGGUGGGAGCUGCCCAGAGCCAGCAGCAUCCAGCUGGAGGAUCCAGGAGGAUGCAGCUCUGCUUUGCUGGGAGCUUGUCCAGGAGAUGGAAUUCCAGUGCUACAGUCUGGGUGGGUCAUGGUGCUCCCAAAAGGAGCCUUUGUGCCUUCAGGACAAGUUUUGGUGCCACUGGAGCUGCUGGGAGAAGCAUAGGGUUGGCAGUGAGAGGCCUGGAAUGAUGUUGGUGUGGUACAGAAGAAAUGAGCAGUGA
Pseudopipra pipra is the source of this 1676-nucleotide long non-coding RNA. RefSeq lists it as uncharacterized. The record is from RefSeq and is a predicted model, not a curated record. Lineage: Eukaryota; Metazoa; Chordata; Aves; Passeriformes; Pipridae. The transcript has 4 exons.